AUCAAUGACCAUUCUACCCUGAAUGCACACAAUCUCACCUGAUCUCAGAAGCUAAGCAGGGUCAGGCCUGGUUAGUACUUGGAGGGAGGAGACACAUACUGAAAACUUAUUCUAUACCAGGUAAUGUUUUAAC
Molecule: ribosomal RNA, 133 nt
Organism: Vulpes vulpes (red fox)
Lineage: Eukaryota; Metazoa; Chordata; Mammalia; Carnivora; Canidae
Source: Ensembl